AUACGGAGGGUGCAAGCGUUAUUCGGAAUCACUGGGCGUAAAGGACGCGUAGGCGGGUUGGCAAGUCAGAUGUGAAAUCCUACAGCUUAACCGUAGAACUGCAUUUGAAACUGCUAACCUAGAGUAUGGGAGGGGGAGAUGGAAUUAGUGGUGUAGGGGUAAAAUCCGUAGAUAUCACUAGGAAUACCGAAAACGAAGGCGAUCUCCUGGAACAUAACUGACGCUAAGGCGUGAAAGCGUGGGGAGCAAACAGGAUUAGAUACCCUAGUAGUCC
This 274-nucleotide ribosomal RNA is filed under the name uncultured bacterium. RNAcentral's name for it is "partial 16S ribosomal RNA". It matches the Rfam family "Bacterial small subunit ribosomal RNA", at positions 523 to 796 of the family's 1533-position model. The record is from RNAcentral.